Pseudophryne corroboree (corroboree frog) is the source of this 2600-nucleotide long non-coding RNA. RefSeq lists it as uncharacterized. The record is from RefSeq and is a predicted model, not a curated record. Lineage: Eukaryota; Metazoa; Chordata; Amphibia; Anura; Myobatrachidae. The transcript is spliced from 7 exons.
CUGCACCUGUGUAAGUGCCGCAGAACAGUAUGGGCACUAUGAUUGGCUGUCACUGCUAGCGCUGUACGGGGGAACAUCUAAGCGAUGUGCACAGAAGUACUCACUGGGACCCGGCGCCUCCUCCUUGUGCUUGAUGUUGCUGCCACUGGCGCGUCCAGAUCCCGGUCUCCACACAGGCCCAGCUUCAGUUUGAGUGACAGUAGAUCGCAUCUGCUGGCUGUGCGCGGCCGCAGCGCUCCGCGUCAUCCUCACUGUCCGUCUCCGCUUCAAGGCAGUAGGGAGGACAGUGCACUUUAUAACCGCAGCGGCACAUGCAUCCACCGAAGAGGAGCAGGAAGAGGUGACCCGGGCGGGAGCAAGCACACAGCACGGGCUGCGGCUCAACAGCAAGCACCACCAUCCACAGCAGUGCAGACAGCCUCCCCAUGCCAGAGACAGCCUCAGCAUGUACAGCAGCUCCGCAGACAUAGACUUCCGUACAGCAAGUAUGCACUGCGAUUGCAGAGUACGUUGUAUAUAAUGCUGAAGUAGCCAAACACUGCAGUCGCAAAGGAAGGAAUCCAGAAUUAAACCAUCCUAAUGCAUAUUAUUUUAAGGAUGCAAAUAAUUGGAUUCACCCACACAUCGUAUACAAGAUAAGAAGCCCCACAUAGCUUCACCCAGAGCCGGAUUAACAAUGGGGCGGAUGAAGGUCCGGCUCCAGGCCCCCCCAUCAGAAUAGACCCACUGCAUCUACUGUGCUGCUGCUGUAGGCAGAAAAAAAUGUUUUCCUGCUACAGCAGCCUGCAAUGGCCACCCCCGAGGUCUCCCCGUCCUCCGUCAGCGGCCGUAAGCCCGUAGCAAACCCCACCUCUCUUGUGACACCAGCGGUACAAAGUCUACAAACCCCACCGCGGCGCAGACAAGAACUUUAUACACAUGACGGCACAGCAGAAGGCUUCACUAGACCUCUAUGCGCUGCACACGCAAUGACGCAGCACCUUCUCCAAGCCGCGUGACAUCGCAAAGUACCGUCCCACCACCAUCAGGAUGGAAGCAUUGGCAGCAUUUACAGCAAGGUGCUCCGUGAAGGUGGCCCGGGUCUCUUAGGCUGACUGAUCAUCCUGAGUUAAGAGGACUUCAUCAAGGGACUAAGACGAAACGCGUUGGGUCAGGGACUUGCUGCUCACCCAGAACUUCCCAUAGCGGACAGAUAAGCCGUUUUUAUAUUUUUAUCUUAUGGCUUCCAGACCAUGUGAUCUUCUACACGAAUAGUGAAUACUGACUCAAGACACUGCCUGUGACGGAAGAAUCAAUAUCUUGAGAGGUUCCCCAUUACAGAGAAAUCAUAAAGCAUUAAGUGGUGGUGACGGAAACAAAGACACUAAGUAAAUACAACCCUCUUGUAGACGAUUAGAAUUGGACUAUUUGUCUACUGGCAUAGACUCCUCCAAACUAUCCUGGCUUACCUCGCAAAAAGAGUUGAAUUCAAGACUCAGACUUCUAUUUGCAGCUCAUUCUCAAUACGCACUGGCUGACGGGCUAGAAAGCUACCUUGCGCAUGGAGCCAAGGAUGGACACUCUAUAUUGCAGUAGUGGAAGUUGUUGGUGAAAAAGGUGAAGUCCACAGGAGGACCCCAGAUAUCGCUGGGGUGUUUGCCUCUUUUUUAUCAGACCCUUUAUACUUCCAAAUUGUCAUGCAGCAUAGAGGAUUCCCUAUUCCCCUUCCAACCUUGCCUCCUGAGGCUAAGAAACUGUUCCCAAUUACAUUGGGGGAAGUAGAUGUGGGACUUUGCUCCUUCCCUGGAAAACAGGCCCUAGGUUCGGAUGGUGUACCUUUUGAGCUGUACAACAAACAUGCUCACUUUUAUUUGCCCUGUCUGUUGGAACUGUAUAAACAACUUUUUCGAAAUGCCAUUCUCCCACAGUCUAUGUUGGAGGCUCUUAUUGUUGGUUUGCAUAAACCAGAGGAUCCGAAAAAAUUCCUGAAUCCUAUCACUCUAUUUCCUCACCAUGGAUGUUAAAAAUUUGACCAAAAUACCAGCAACUGGGCUCAAUCAGGUGAUAUUGUUUAUUAUUCAUCCGGAUCAGACCGGGUUAAUGCUGGGUAAAUGCCAGGUCCACUGUUGCAUGAAUUUGCUGAUCCCAUCAUUCAUUUGAAUGUCAUACACAUUGGAAUCUCACUGAAUAGUUGAUCUACGAGGUAUGUGAUGUUCUUUUUUGAUAUACGAAUCAUGUAUUAGUUCUUAAUACAUAUGAUCACAAUAUAAAUUAAAAGUUAACUAUACUCUAACUAGGCUGGAUUGAUGUUGCCACAAUACGCCUUAGUGACGCUUUGAAUUCUCCUUUUGAGCAAUUCUGGUUAACCAUCUAGGCUCAUUCUAUUUGAUUGGCAUUGUCAUCCAAGGUAUGUCCAUGACCAAUUAUGUCACCUAUGGAUUUAAACUGUCGUUUCUCUAUAUCCAUAAUUAUGUUGAUUGUUUAAUGAUUAUUCCUUGUUCCGUUGUAUCAUGUCUUGCAUAUUCCUGUUUUUUGUUCUUUUGACUGUUCUUUUCUUUAUUUUAACCUUUAUUAUUUUAUUGUUUGUAAAAUUGUAAUAUAUUGAAAAGUUGUCCCAUAAC